Hippocampus comes (tiger tail seahorse) is the source of this 305-nucleotide long non-coding RNA. RefSeq lists it as uncharacterized. The record is from RefSeq and is a predicted model, not a curated record. The transcript is spliced from 2 exons. Lineage: Eukaryota; Metazoa; Chordata; Actinopteri; Syngnathiformes; Syngnathidae.
UACAGUAGGAGUCCAUUUAUCGUCUCUGAAGGUACAAUCGACAUUUUGGGCUUAUCUUGACGAUUUCCAAAAGCAAAAAAAAAAAAAAGUAGAAUUAUAUUUUUAUUUAUGUAACCGCGAUCUAUGCAUCCAUAGCUUUUGAUUUAAAUGUUCAAUUCUGUGACUUUUUUUUUUUUUUUUUGUAAUCUACAAUAUCUUACAAUGCUCUUCAGCCUAAUGCAGUAUUAUUGCUUGUUUACGCAAUGAAGCUACAAGCUAAAAAUAAUAAGUUUAAAAAAAAAAAAAAAAGAUCACACUCGAUAGGG